RNAcentral lists this long non-coding RNA (525 nucleotides) under Pan troglodytes (chimpanzee). Its description in RNAcentral is "long non-coding RNA NONPTRT009808". The record is from RNAcentral. Lineage: Eukaryota; Metazoa; Chordata; Mammalia; Primates; Hominidae.
CCACGCGCAGCGGCUCCGCGGGGUCUCGGCCGGGUCCGCGCUCUGAAGGAUCUCGAGAGCCAUGGGUGGUGCAGGCGGGACCCUCGAGCUGCAGCAUCUCCGGUGACCCGGGGUUGCCGAGGAGGUGGAGACCAGCACAGGUGGUCCGGCCCGGGCGCCUCCGAAUCCGGGGGUGGUCAAGACGGAUCCCCAAGGCUGAGGUCGGCAGUCCCGGGGACUCGCAGCUGUUGAGCCUGUGGAGACGCGGCCCCGUGACCGAGGCACCCUUCAGCAACCCGGGGGCAGCGUUUUCCCCCUACCGGAAAUCUGAUGGGCUUAUGACAUCAUGGCUGGCUGCUGAGCGAUGAAGUGGAUGCCACAAAGAAAUCCGACAUAUCAGAUAGAUUCUGAAAUCGGUUUCCCUCCAGCUGUAGUAACAGGCGUGAAGUCAGGAGAAUUUGAGCUUUGUUUAAAAAAUAAAUAAAUAAAUAAAUAAACCAUAACAAAGUCUUGCCCUGUAUUAAAUGCAAUUUUCUUAAAAACAAG